UACAGAGACUGCAAGCGUUAUUCGGAUUCACUGGGCGUAAAGGGUGCGCAGGCGGCCGUGUGUGUGAGGCGUGAAAGCCCGGGGCUUAACCCCGGAAUUGCACCUCAAACUACAUGGCUAGAGCAUUGGAGAGGGUAGCAGAAUUCAUGGUGUAGCAGUGAAAUGCGUAGAUAUCUGGAGGAACACCGGUGGCGAAGGCGGCAUCCUGGACCAACACUGACACUGAGGAGCGAAAGCCAGGGGAGCAAACGGG
This 253-nucleotide ribosomal RNA is filed under the name uncultured bacterium. RNAcentral's name for it is "partial 16S ribosomal RNA". It matches the Rfam family "Bacterial small subunit ribosomal RNA", at positions 524 to 776 of the family's 1533-position model. The record is from RNAcentral.